UGGGGAAUAUUGCACAAUGGGCGAAAGCCUGAUGCAGCAACGCCGCGUGAGUGAUGAAGGUCUUCGGAUUGUAAAGCUCUGUCUUUUGGGACGAUAAUGACGGUACCAAAGGAGGAAGCCACGGCUAACUACGUGCCAGCAGCCGCGGUAAUACGUAGGUGGCGAGCGUUGUCCGGAUUUACUGGGCGUAAAGGGUGCGUAGGCGGAUGUUUAAAGUGAGAUGUGAAAUACCCGG
Molecule: ribosomal RNA, 235 nt
Filed under: uncultured bacterium
Lineage: Bacteria
Description: partial 16S ribosomal RNA
Rfam family: Bacterial small subunit ribosomal RNA
Source: RNAcentral